Molecule: transfer RNA, 73 nt
Filed under: Diaphorina citri (Asian citrus psyllid)
Lineage: Eukaryota; Metazoa; Arthropoda; Insecta; Hemiptera; Psyllidae
Rfam family: tRNA
About the family: Transfer RNA (tRNA) molecules are approximately 80 nucleotides in length. Their secondary structure includes four short double-helical elements and three loops (D, anti-codon, and T loops). Further hydrogen bonds mediate the characteristic L-shaped molecular structure. tRNAs have two regions of fundamental functional importance: the anti-codon, which is responsible for specific mRNA codon recognition, and the 3' end, to which the tRNAs corresponding amino acid is attached (by aminoacyl-tRNA synthetases). tRNAs cope with the degeneracy of the genetic code in two manners: having more than one tRNA (with a specific anti-codon) for a particular amino acid; and 'wobble' base-pairing, i.e. permitting non-standard base-pairing at the 3rd anti-codon position.
Source: Rfam by way of RNAcentral
ACCACUGUGGCCAAGUGUGUAUCACAUUAGUCUUACAUUCUAGAGAUCCUGGGUUCAAUUCCCAGCAGAGUUC